RNAcentral lists this long non-coding RNA (218 nucleotides) under Elaeis guineensis (African oil palm). RNAcentral describes it as "long non-coding RNA (EGUI_LNC001494)". Lineage: Eukaryota; Viridiplantae; Streptophyta; Magnoliopsida; Arecales; Arecaceae. The record is from RNAcentral.
UCUUAUACUUGCUUUUCCAAAUGUAUAUUAAUAGUCUUUUGUUUUAUCCUAACCAAGGAAAAAUUUUCUAUUUGUUGAGCUCGUGGAUAUGAUUGGAAAAGUUACGAGUAUUAUGUCAUGUGCGUUCUUAUGUUUGUUGUUGGAAAACAGGAUUUCAUAUUAUAAAAGGAUUAUAGUCUCUCUUCAGAAGUACUCAUUCUUAGGUAGAUGGUGGGAGC